RNAcentral lists this ribosomal RNA (576 nucleotides) under uncultured eukaryote. Its description in RNAcentral is "bacterial SSU rRNA". It matches the Rfam family "Eukaryotic small subunit ribosomal RNA", at positions 194 to 780 of the family's 1831-position model. The record is from RNAcentral.
GGAAGAGUUGGUCUUACUAGCCGAAAACCAGCCCGCUUUGCGGUAACUGAUGAAUCACAGUAAACAGCCGAAUUGCAGUUUUGCAAUAUGUCAUUCAAGUUUCCGACCUAUCAGCUUCCGACGGUAGGGUAUUGGCCUACCGUGGCAUUGACGGGUAACGGGGAAUUGGGGUUUGAUUCCGGAGAGGGAGCCUGAGAAACGGCUACCACAUCUAAGGAAGGCAGCAGGCGCGCAAAUUACCCAAUCCUGACUCAGGGAGGUAGUGACAAGAAAUAACAACACGGGGCACAAUAGUGGCUUUGUGAUUGGAAUGAGAUUAGCAUAAACCCCUAAGCAAGUAUCAAUUGGAGGGCAAGUCUGGUGCCAGCAGCCGCGGUAAUUCCAGCUCCAAUAGCGUAUAUUAAAGUUGUUGCGGUUAAAAAGCUCGUAGUUGGAUCUGCAGACAAGGAUGCUGGUCGGCCUACAAUGGUUCGCACUGGUACUCCUAGCCUAUAUGGCAAGUCGACUGUUGGUGCUCUUAACCGAGUGCCUUCAGCGGCUAGCACGUUUACUUUGAAAAAAUUUGAGUGCUCAAAG